GAUGAACGCUGGCGGCGUGCCUAAUACAUGCAAGUCGAGCGAACGGACGAGAAGCUUGCUUCUCUGGUGUUAGCGGCGGACGGGUGAGUAACACGUGGAUAACCUACCUAUAAGACUGGGAUAACUUCGGGAAACCGGAGCUAAUACCGGAUAAUAUUUUGAACCGCAUGGUUCAAAAGUGAAAGACGGUCUUGCUGUCACUUAUAGAUGGAUCCGCGCUGCAUUAGCUAGUUGGUAAGGUAACGGCCUACCAAGGCAACGAUGCAUAGCCGACCUGAGAGGGUGAUCGGCCACACUGGAACUGAGACACGGUCCAGACUCCUACGGGAGGCAGCAGUAGGGAAUCUUCCGCAAUGGGCGAAAGCCUGACGGAGCAACGCCGCGUGAGUGAUGAAGGUCUUCGGAUCGUAAAACUCCGUUAUUAGGGAAGAACAUAUGUGUAAGUAACUGUGCACAUCUUGACGGUACCUAAUCAGAAAGCCACGGCUAACUACGUG
Molecule: ribosomal RNA, 497 nt
Filed under: uncultured bacterium
Lineage: Bacteria
Description: partial 16S ribosomal RNA
Rfam family: Bacterial small subunit ribosomal RNA
Source: RNAcentral